GCACUGCUGAGGAGUCCCACAAUAGGACGAAACGGCAGUCCAGUGA
This 46-nucleotide non-coding RNA is filed under the name Schistosoma mansoni. Lineage: Eukaryota; Metazoa; Platyhelminthes; Trematoda; Strigeidida; Schistosomatidae. The record is from RNAcentral. RNAcentral also lists the same sequence under 1 other name.